RNAcentral lists this long non-coding RNA (4535 nucleotides) under Macaca mulatta (Rhesus monkey). RNAcentral's name for it is "lncRNA (ENSMMUG00000055003.1)". The record is from RNAcentral. Lineage: Eukaryota; Metazoa; Chordata; Mammalia; Primates; Cercopithecidae.
CAGAAUGUCACUGGUGCUGAGUACCCGCUCGCCCUCCAGCCUGCUUCUGUGUUCCACAGCAACCGCACACACACAGUGCUGUCUGCGAGCCGUUCUGUGUUCGUGAGGGUUUGCUAUGGGAGAGGUAUAACCCUGGUUCAUCAGAAUCAGGUGCCCGUUCUGUGCUGCCCAGGCAGACGAUCACCUCCUUGGUCCUAUGGUGGCUCCAUAGGCUGGGUGCUGUUCCCAAAUGUGCCCAUUCGACAGGUGAUCCCAGGAGGAAUUGUUCAUCCAGGUGUUCUCCAGGACCAAGGACCCAGAGUUCUCCUGUUCUUUCUCAGUGACCUGGGAAAAUGAAGCCCCCACGCCCCGCAUGGAUAGCUCAGAAUUGUGGAGUCCACCGUCCCUCCCCCAGAGUCAUGGUUUCCACCAGCACAGAGGCUGCUUUGGAGACAAUGGAUCAUUUUCUUCCCCUAAACCAAACACCCUCCUGCUCAACUGGCAUUAUUCCUAAAGCGGCUUCACUGGGCAGACUGAAGGGCCAUGGCAGCCCAAGUGGAUGGACAUGGGAGAGAACGCGACACCUGCUGGUACAGGAGCGAGGGCACGUCAUUACCAAGCAUGAGCAGCAAACAUGGCAGGACAGGAGACACGUGGAAAAGUGGCUGAAGAUGCUGGGAGAAUGGCAGAAAUACAGGAAGAGCAAGAAGGACAUGAAGGAAAAGGGCAAGAGGUCCUCUGAACACAUCCACCAGAUCGACCUGGACGUGAGCCGGACACUGAGGAAUCACAUAAUAUUUAGGAAAUGAUAUGGCAUCAGGUAAGCCUAUGGGGGCCACAGGGUCCCAGUGGAGAUGAAGUGAACCACACGGAUGGAGACAUCUCCGGAGCAAAAACCAGGUUCACCCAGGAGGGAUGACAGAGCUGCCAAGGGCUCCCCUGGCCCAGGGAGCAGCCGGCACCAUGCACUGAGCACCUCCCAGGUUCAAAGCCCUGGGCCAGGCUAAAAUAUGUGGGGCCAGAACCCAGGACGAUCCUGAGGAGACAGAAGGCAGCAAACAAAAUCAUGCACAAUGGUGAAAGGUGCUCUUCCUGACUCACGGGGAGCCAUGGUAGGGACCCAUGGUGGGGGGCAGCAGGAUGGAGGGCUGCUGAGCCUCCCCUGGCAACACUGACAGUACCAAAUGCUGGGGGCAGGGGGAUUCGGGGCCCCAGAAACUCUCAUCCACAGCUGGUGGAAACGUGACAUGACACAGCCACUUUGGAAGCCAGCUGGACAGUCACUCGCAAAGCUCAGUGGACUCGAACCACAUGUCCCCAAAAUGUCACAGACAUUGAACCAACUGAUUUGAAAACGGACAUCCACAUUGUAGAAAGUAAAAAGUUCCUCUUCAAAGUUUCCCUUCUUGUUAAAUAAUAGAUCAUAAGUGUUGAAAUAACAGUUUUCUUUAAAGACUAACUUCCUUCAAGCCUCCUUGCUUUGUGCUAAUAACUCUUUGUAAAGCCCUAUCCUAUGUAGCUGUUAGAUAUAAAGGAAUAAGUACAUUAUAUGUCUUUGUGCUUUAAUCAAGGUUAUCUGUGCUGGACAUGCUCACAGGCAGGUCCCGGCUCGAAGCCUAUGCCCCUUCCUUAUUUGGGAAUGUGAUUACUUUUCUAAGUCUUUUCAUAAGCAACUUCCUCUUUUCCUUUGUUCUCCAUUGCUUUUGCCUAUUUAGAAACAUUUUAAAUUAUUAGUCAGUCAGCUUUAGUUUAGAUUGUGUGGUCCGGCUCCAGCCAAUGGAGACAGGACACAGUAGCAGGGACAAGUUGCAUAAAGGAUAAAAAUUGCUUCCCUCCUUUAUUCAGGUGUGCUCUUGCCAUUGUUCCAUCUGCGAGGAGCGCCCUUUCUGCAGAAGGUAAAAUUGCCUUGCUGAGAAAACUUUUUGUUUAAAUGCUGAUGUUUCUUUGUGGUACUGAGGAACAAGCAUUCUGUUUCUAAAUAAACAUUUUGCUUAUAACAUACAUGAAACCUGCAUGCCACAUUCACUGCUUGAUUCAUCAUCACUCACACAGAGAGGCCAUGGGGACAACCUUCAACACGGGGAUGGGGAGAGGAUGGGUGGCCCUCCCUUCAAAGGGAAAAAGACUCAGUGAGAAAAGUGAACAAGCCAGUGAUGCCCACAUGAACGUCAGUGGAUCUUAGUUGCAUUUUGCUAAGGGAAAGAAACCAGACCCAACAAGCUACUGCUGUAGGGUUCCAAUUCAUAGGCCAUUCUGGAAAAGGCCAAAUCAUAGGGACAGAGAACAGGUUGGGAUGGCCAAAGGCUGAUGGACUGGGAAGAGGUUGGCGACAUAGGGGAUACCCUGGAGACUUGGAGGAUGAAGGAAUUGCUCCAGGAGGGGCUGGAGUGGUGGCCAGGAGACUCUGCACAUUGGUUUAGAACCAUGGAGGAACUGUACACCCCAAAGACUGAACUGGAGGGUGUGCAAACUGAAAAAAUAAAAAUCAGAGUGUGAUCAGUCAACUCACUGUACAACUGGGAUAUUUGCAUAUCACAGAUAUGGAUUUUGCUGAAACAUUUCUUAAACAACCAAGGCCCUGAAGAGCUUACAGCCUAUCUGGUGAAUCAUCUGAACCUGAAAUUGGAUUUGUUGUUAGGGUUUGUAGACAAAGUGAAACUAAAAGCGUCUGCACAAAACAAAUGAAAGCCCCCUUUAUCUCUUUCCUAGGCAACAGGAAUUAUUCUACAUCCUCCUGGCAUAUUUGGCAUAUAACCCUAUGAGUAUUCCCAGGCAGUGACAUUUCUGGGCCAUAUUCCCAUAUUCAUGGGCAUGGGUGUCUGGUAAGGGCAUCGUUGCUUCUUUCAAAGUCAGUAUUUGUGACCCACCAGGAUAUAGUAGAUAGGACUCCAGCUCACUGCUGGCUUAAAUCUCCAAGCAAGGGAGGUGGUCUCAAGGGGUCAAACUGAGACAGAGGAGUCAGGGCCCCAACUACUAGUGUCACCUGGGCCUGACCACCACUUCUCAUAACAAGAAAUGACACCCUCCUCCUGGGGCUGUCCUGAAGCCCAGGAGCUUGGCAGUGUCACAUGCAGGACGGUGCCCUCAGGAAACAUUUUGGACAAGUUGCUGAAGUGCCUGAUGGACAUGGCUCUUGUUAGGAAAUAAAUUUGCAUCCGGAGGAAGCCUCUUCUUCAGAGGAAGCCUCCCCAGUCACCUCUGCCCUCUCCAAUGACAUGAGUCCUCCCAGGUGACCUCAGCCCUCCAGGAGAUGUCCUUCCAUGGUGACUCUGGAUCUUGCAGGAGGUGGACUACUGCAGGGACCUGAGCCACGCUGCUGCCUUGUUUCUCCUCUAUCAGCCUGAGGAGGAUGCAUUCUGGGCACCGGCCCAGCUGUUGGCUGAUGAGAGGUACUCCCCGCAGGGUAGGUGAACAGCUGCCCCCCAAACACGCAGCCAAACCCGGGGAUGGCCACCCUAGCCAGAUUAUCUCGACUUUCAGCAAAGGUACCUUCCUUGUGUCGCCAGCUUGUUGGGAGCAUUUAGGAUGUCUCUGCUGAGGGUCCCACAGGAGCCCAGGGAUGAACAGGGACCCCCAGACCCUGAGUCAGAUGCCUUUCAUCCCCGUCAGCAGAGGGCAUCUCAUCUUCACCGUGGCUGAUCUCUGUGUCCUGGAGCCACACUCUCCAGCUCUAAUUCCAUGCAGCUGACUCUCCCCUCCCUGAGAGUCCUCCUGCCCUCCAGCUGGCCGGGCUCCAGCUGCCCUUGGUCUCCACAGGUGGGCCGACAAAGCCCAGAUGGCAGCAUCUCCCCAUCCCGUGUCCCCUGGUCUGACCCCACUUCCAGGAGACAACCAGGAAGCCCAGCACCCACCCUGUUCUUUCUUUCUGCUCUCUGUCGUGGCCUCAAAGUCAGGCUUGCCCUCCCGGCAUCCUGGCCCAGGAGGCCUCCUGGAGCACCUCCAGCCAGGCUCCAGGGGAUGUUCCCACCCCUCCUCCCCAGGGCCAAGGCCACAUGGUGGGGUCACCAGAUGGGAGGGUGGGAGGCCUUGGGGCUCAGGGGCCUCUGCAGCUGCCCAGUUCUUCCAGCCGACAGCUCCACAUCUUGGGAGCAGGCUCUGAUUUCAUGAUGGGCUGGGGUCUUCUCAAAUUCUACAGCCCAAAUAGCACGAGGCCCCAGGGGCUCCAGGACCACCAGGACCAUGUGGUACCCUAGUCAUACCCCAAGACCACUAGGCACCCUGGGAGUUUAUGGUCCCCUCGGCUCUUUCCCAGAGGCCCUGCAUCCCAUAGGGCUGGCAGAGUGCGGGGCUGGAGACCCCUGUGGGGCUGAUGAGAGGCUGAGUCCCAGCCAGGCCCUGACCUGGGAUGUGGGGGUUCUCCAUGCGUUUGGAGUUGGGUUUCCUCCCCUGCCCUGGAGGACACAGAGGCACAGGCACUGGGGCCCAGCUCCUGCAGAGCAAGGCCAAGGGCAGUAUGUCCACCGGGGGUGUGGAAAGGGGAAGGUGUUGUGGGGAGCCCUGGACACCAUCCUGUGUUCUGCACUUGGGGAAGGGUCUUCAGAGGACCCUGGAAGAGG